Non-coding RNA from Lupinus albus (white lupine), 221 nucleotides. The record is from the annotation of a GenBank genome assembly. NCBI's taxonomy places the organism in Eukaryota, Viridiplantae, Streptophyta, Magnoliopsida, Fabales, Fabaceae.
GCCCAUGUGACUAUUUACCAAAAGCAUAGGUCUCCACAAAGGAGUAAGACCAUGUAUAGGGGUUGACACCUGCUUAGUGUCGGAAGGUCAAGGAAGUUGGUGAUCUGCUGACAAGGGAGUCGAUGACGAAAGCCCCAGUGAACGGUGGUCGUAGCUAUAACGAUUCUAAGGUAGUGAAAUACCUUGCGGGUAAGUUUCGUCCAACAGGCAAAGUCAUGUGC